Molecule: non-coding RNA, 48 nt
Filed under: Oceaniglobus indicus
Lineage: Bacteria; Pseudomonadati; Pseudomonadota; Alphaproteobacteria; Rhodobacterales; Paracoccaceae
Description: SAM-SAH-Weickhmann-2018 RNA
Rfam family: SAM/SAH riboswitch aptamer
Source: RNAcentral
CCGCCGCAACGGCUUCCUGACGCGACCGGGUGAUUUUUCAACGGAGCA